Molecule: ribosomal RNA, 497 nt
Filed under: uncultured bacterium
Lineage: Bacteria
Description: partial 16S ribosomal RNA
Rfam family: Bacterial small subunit ribosomal RNA
Source: RNAcentral
GAUGAACGCUGGCGGCGUGCCUAAUACAUGCAAGUCGAACGAACGGACGAGGAGCUUGCUUCUCUGAUGUUAGCGGCGGACGGGUGAGUAACACGUGGAUAACCUACCUAUAAGACUGGGAUAACUUCGGGAAACCGGAGCUAAUACCGGAUGAUAUUUUGAACCGCAUGGUUCAAUAGUGAAAGACGGUUUUGCUGUCACUUAUAGCUGGAUCCGCGCUGCAUUAGCUAGUUGGUAAGGUCAUGGCUUACCAAGGCAACGAUGCGUAGCCGACCUGAGAGGGUGAUCGGCCACACUGGAACUGAGACACGGUCCAGACUCCUACGGGAGGCAGCAGUAGGGAAUCUUCCGCAAUGGGCGAAAGCCUGACGGAGCAACGCCGCGUGAGUGAUGAAGGUCUUCGGAUCGUAAAACUCUGUUAUUAGGGAAGAACAUAUGUGUAAGUAACUGUGCACAUCUUGACGGUACCUAAUCAGAAAGCCACGGCUAACUACGUG